AGAAGGCGGACGUGCUGGAGGGGACAGUGGAGAGGCUGCCCCCCAUCAGAGCGUCAGGGCUGGGAGCUGACCCCGCCCAGGCAGUGGUCUCACCGGGCCAGGGAGAUGGUGUUCCUGGCCCAGCCCAGGCAUUCCCUGGCCACCUGCCCCUGCCCACAAAGGUGGAAGCCAAGGCUCCUGAGACACCCAGCGAGAACCUCAGGACUGGCCUGGAAUUGGCUCCAGCACCCGGCAGGGUCAAUGUGGUCUCCCCGAGCCUGGAGGUUGCACCAGGUGCAGGACAAGGAGCAUCGUCCAGCAGGCCUGACCCUGAGCCCUUAGAGGAAGGCACGAGGCUGACUCCAGGGCCUGGCCCCCAGUGCCCAGGGCCUCCAGGGCUGCCAGCCCAGGCCAGGGCAGCCCACAGUGGUGGAGAAACACCUCCAAGGAUCUCCAUCCACAUACAAGAGAUGGAUACUCCUGGGGAGAUGCUGAUGACAGGCAGGGGCAGCCUUGGACCCACCCUCACCACAGAGGCUCCAGCAGCUGCCCAGCCAGGCAAGCAGGGCCCACCUGGGACCGGGCGCUGCCUCCAAGCCCCUGGGACUGAGCCCGGAGAACAGACCCCUGAAGGAGCCAGAGAGCUCUCCCCGCUGCAGGAGAGCAGCAGCCCCGGGGGAGUGAAGGCAGAGGAGGAGCAAAGGGCUGGGGCCGAGCCUGGCACGAGACCAAGCUUGGCCAGGAGCGACGACAAUGACCAUGAGGUUGGGGCCCUGGGCCUGCAGCAGGGCAAAAGCCCAGGGGCGGGAAACCCUGAGCCUGAGCAGGACUGUGCAGCCAGGGCUCCGGUGAGAGCCGAAGCAGUAAGGAGGACGCCCCCAGGCGCCGAGGCUGGCAGCGUGGUUCUGGAUGACAGUCCGGCCCCACCAGCUCCUUUUGAACACCGGGUAGUGAGCGUCAAGGAGACCUCCAUCUCUGCGGGUUACGAGGUGUGCCAGCACGAAGUCUUGGGAGGGGGCCGGUUUGGCCAGGUCCACAGGUGCACAGAGAAGUCCACAGGCCUCCCACUGGCUGCCAAGAUCAUCAAAGUGAAGAGCGCCAAGGACCGGGAGGACGUGAAGAACGAGAUCAACAUCAUGAACCAGCUCAGCCACGUGAACCUGAUCCAGCUCUAUGACGCCUUCGAGAGCAAGCACAGCUGCACCCUCGUCAUGGAGUACGUGGACGGGGGUGAGCUCUUCGACCGGAUCACAGAUGAGAAGUACCACCUGACUGAGCUGGAUGUGGUCCUGUUCACCAGGCAGAUCUGUGAGGGUGUGCAUUACCUGCACCAGCACUACAUCCUGCACCUGGACCUCAAGGUGGGUUCUGCCCUGGGCAUGCGGUAGGGGCCCCUGGUGUCCUAGCCCCUGGUGUGCUCUCACCAUUGAGAGCUCUAUCCACAGACAGUCCCAGCUUCCAUUCCUGGCUCUCUGUCAUUUUGUAGUUCUGGAGUCUGGGACAGGCCACUCUUGCUGCCUCUUGGGGCUGUAGUUCUUCCAUCUGGAUAAUGGUACCUCUUUAAGUAUUAUUUGAAGAUUAAGUGAAACAAUGAGCUUUUCUUCUUUAAAAAUAUCUUUAAGAUUACUUUUUUUAAAAGUUCAAAAGGGAACAUAGGCUUUUGGUAACAACUAUAGACAACAGAGUAGUGUGUAAAAUACACAGUGAAAGUUCCUCCCGCCAGGCCUCCGUGCUGAAGGGACUUCUCUGUGAGCAAGCUGGCAUGACUCACAGACACACAAAAGGAGAUCCUACGAUGCAUUCUUCCCUCCCUCCCUCCCCCUCUCUCUCUUUCUUUUCUUUCUUUCUCUCUCUCUUUCUUUUCUUUCUUUCUUUCUUUCUUUCUUUCUUUCUUUCUUUCUUUCUUUCUUUCUUUCUGUUUCUUCUUUCUUUCUUUCUCUCACUUUCUUUUUCUUUCUCUCUCUCUUUUCUCUCUCUCUCUCUCUUCUCUCCUCUCUCCUCUCUUUCUUUUUUGGAGACAGGGCCUCUCUCUGUUGCCCAGGCUGGAGUGCAGUGGUGCCAUCAUAUCUCACUGCAGCCUGGACCUCCCAGGCUUAAGUGAUCCUCAGUCUCCCAAGUAGCUAGGACUACAGGCACGUGCCACCACACUUGGCUAAUUUUUGUAUUUUGUAUAGAGACAAGGAUUCACCAUGUUGCCCAGGCUGGUCUUGAACUCCUGGACUCAAACAAUCCUGCCUCAGCCUCCCAAAGUGCUGGGAUUACAGGCAUGAGCCACCACAUCUAGCCCAGAUGGCUGCAAAUGCCAUUAAUUCAUUCCUUUUUAUGGCUGAGUAGUAUAUGGUACUGGCAUAAAAAUAGGCGCUGAGUGGUAUAUGGUACUGGCAUAAAAAUAGGCACAUAGACCAAUGGAACAUAAUCGAGAACCCAGAAAUAAACCCUAAUACUUACAGCCAACUGACUGACAAAGCAAACAAAAACAAGUGAAGAAAUGACACCCUAUUCAACAAAUGGUGCUGGGAUAAUUGGCAAGCCACAUGUAAGAGAAUGAAACUGGAUCCUCAUCUCUCACCUUAUACAAAAAUCAACUCAAGAUGGAUCAAGGACUUAAAUCUAAGGCCUGAAACUAAAAAUUGUAGAAGAUAACAUUGGAAAAAAUCCUUCUAGACAUUGGCUUAGGCAAGGAUUUCAUGAGCAAGAACCCAAAAGCAAAUGCAAUAAAAACCAAAUGUUUGAAGAAGAAUUAACACCUUUACAAAUUCUUCCAAAAAUAGAAGAGGAGGGAACACUUGCUUCUCAUUUUAUG
Molecule: small RNA, 2782 nt
Filed under: Pan troglodytes (chimpanzee)
Lineage: Eukaryota; Metazoa; Chordata; Mammalia; Primates; Hominidae
Description: retained intron
Source: RNAcentral